Long non-coding RNA from Rhea pennata, 608 nucleotides. RefSeq lists it as uncharacterized. The transcript has 4 exons. Lineage: Eukaryota; Metazoa; Chordata; Aves; Rheiformes; Rheidae. The record is from RefSeq and is a predicted model, not a curated record.
GGCCCGCCGCGGCAAGGUGCCGUUGUUUCGGAGCAGCAGGAUGGGGCCGCUCACGGGCUCGGCCGCCUGCCUGCGCCGCGGCGGCUGGUACUCGGAGCCGAGGCUGAGCAGGCUGUACACCUGCCCGUUGUUCUCCCACUGAAUCCGCUGCUUCCAGACGGCGGGGGGCAGCGGCGGGGGGUCGCGGCGCGGCGGCGGCGGCGGCUGGCAGCCGGCGGGCCACAGGCAGCUCCAGUAGAUGCACGCGUGGAGCUGGGCGAGCAGGAGCCCCGCGGGCGCGAAAUGCAUCUUCUUCUUCUUCCUAGGUUUUGUCUGGAACAGUGACUAAGACUGAAGAAGAUGAAAUGCUUAAAAAUGAGGAAAAUACAAUGCUGAAGAAAUGAGUCAACAGAAUCAAGCAGCUACUAACUGAAGACCAGUCUUUGAGAGUAAGCACAGAAACUGUCAUGCAAUACAGUGCUACUGGACUGAUAAAAACACUAAUGAGUGUCAACUAACAGCAGAGAGCCACCUAUUCUCCAGCAUCAUUUUCUAGACCAGGAAGUUUGGUUGUCUAAGCACUUAGAUACAGUCUGACCCCUUCUUCUCAUGAAGUCAUCAAGCAGUUU